RNAcentral lists this ribosomal RNA (517 nucleotides) under Dehalococcoidales bacterium. Its description in RNAcentral is "partial 23S ribosomal RNA". It matches the Rfam family "Archaeal large subunit ribosomal RNA", at positions 2300 to 2817 of the family's 2987-position model. Lineage: Bacteria; Bacillati; Chloroflexota; Dehalococcoidia; Dehalococcoidales. The record is from RNAcentral.
AUCUGAUGCAAAUCAGAAACAGGUGCAGGUAGGCAGUUCGGCUGGGGCGGCACCCCUUUGAAAAGAUAUCAAAGGGGCCCAAAGUUUAGUUCAAACGGGUCAGAAAUCCGUUGAAGAGGGCAAAGCCAAAAACUAGACUGACAGGAUUUCCAAACGCACGGAAUUCUGAGACGAAAGUCUGGCUUAGCGAUCCUUCGUGUGCCCACUAUUGGGGCCCGGAGGUGACAGAAAAAUUACCCCAGGGAUAACAGGCUCGUCGCGGGCGAGAGCUCCUAUCGACCCCGCGGUUUGGUACCUCGAUGUCGGCUUUUCCUAUCCUGGUCCUGCAGCAGGGGCCAAGGGUGAGGCUGCUCGCCUAUUAAAAGGGAACAUGAGCUGGGUUUAGACCGUCGUGAGACAGGUCGGUCUCUGCCUGAUGGAAGCGCGGCUGUCUGAGGGGAAGUUGCUCUCAGUACGAGAGGAACAGAGCAACGUGGCCACUGGUCUACCGGUUGUCUGAUAAGGCAGGCCGGGCAGC